Macaca mulatta (Rhesus monkey) is the source of this 576-nucleotide non-coding RNA. NCBI's taxonomy places the organism in Eukaryota, Metazoa, Chordata, Mammalia, Primates, Cercopithecidae. The record is from RefSeq and is a predicted model, not a curated record.
CAAGAAAAUCUUUGGAACAGUGCUGUCUGGAGCACUGGACUGGGGAGGGCCAGGUGAAUCUCUGUGUUUGAGGAGCUGAGAGGCAGCAAUCUGGGUGGAAAGAAGGUUCAGAGACUUGUUUGGAAGCUGCCUUUGCAGGGUAUACUUAAGGCCAACAAGAAGGAACACAUAAUCUGGUCUCAGGAAACAUUUUGCAUCAUCUGGUAAAGACUUCUGCCUCAUCAGAUUACAGACUACAGGUGAAGCCUUGAAGAGAGCUCCAAGGAGCUGCAUGGGCACAAGGCAGUGUCCUCACAGUGAGCUAGGAAGAGGCUUGCACUGUCACUGCCAGCCACUUUGUGCAUCAGGGAAGGCCUGAGCGUAAUACUUGAGCAGCCAUUGCUGUCUCCUCCAGGGAGAGGAAUCAUCCUCCUCACAGACGGCUGAAGAUCUUAUGAAGCUGAACCUCCCAACAAAUCCUCAUAUUUUGAUACAAAUAAGAAUAUGAUCGUCAAUAUUCAUGCAAUGUUUUAAACCUUAUGUAGCAAUUUUGCACAUUCUUGUACUCUUUCAGAAAUAGUGUGGGUUGUGAUGAUA